Molecule: long non-coding RNA, 232 nt
Filed under: Eucalyptus grandis
Lineage: Eukaryota; Viridiplantae; Streptophyta; Magnoliopsida; Myrtales; Myrtaceae
Description: long non-coding RNA (EGRA_LNC002095)
Source: RNAcentral
AACAAAUCAUCGGUGAGGAGUAUAGAGUGAGAUGUUCAUUUUAAACAUUAUCAGAGACAAAAUCGACGAAUAUGAGGACAGGCGUGCACUGAAACAUGCGAGGUUGAAACCAAAAUAGAGCAUAGGAGAGAGGGAUACGUUGCCAAAGCCGUCCCUGGUCGAGAUUGAUGAUCGCCCAAAGGAGAGAGAUCGUAAUGGACAGUAACGCUGAGACCUAGAACCGUCAAAAGGG